This 1109-nucleotide ribosomal RNA is filed under the name uncultured bacterium. Its description in RNAcentral is "bacterial SSU rRNA". It matches the Rfam family "Bacterial small subunit ribosomal RNA", at positions 56 to 1163 of the family's 1533-position model. The record is from RNAcentral.
UGCAGUCGAGGGGCAGCACAUGAGUAGUAAUACGAUGGUGGCGACCGGCGCACGGGUGAGUAACACGUAUGCAACCUGCCUGUAAGAGGGGAAUAACCCAUUGAAAGACGGACUAAUACCGCAUAAUACUUUAGAUCUGCAUGGAUUUAGAGUUAAACAUUUAUGGCUUACAGAUGGGCAUGCGUAUGAUUAGAUAGUUGGUGAGGUAACGGCUCACCAAGUCAACGAUCAUUAGGGGUUCUGAGAGGAAGGCCCCCCACACUGGUACUGAGACACGGACCAGACUCCUACGGGAGGCAGCAGUGAGGAAUAUUGGUCAAUGGGCGCAAGCCUGAACCAGCCAAGUCGCGUGAAGGAAGAAUGUCCUAUGGAUUGUAAACUUCUUUUUUAGGGGAAUAAAGUACACCACGUGUGGUGUUUUGUAUGUACCCUACGAAUAAGGAUCGGCUAACUCCGUGCCAGCAGCCGCGGUAAUACGGAGGAUCCAAGCGUUAUCCGGAUUUAUUGGGUUUAAAGGGUGCGUAGGCGGGAUAAUAAGUCAGGGGUGAAAGUUUGCAGCUUAACUGUAAAAUUGCCUUUGAAACUGUUAUUCUUGAGUACAGACAAGGUAGGCGGAAUGUAUUGUGUAGCGGUGAAAUGCUUAGAUAUAAUACAGAACCCCGAUUGCGAAGGCAGCUUACCGGGCUGUAACUGACGCUGAGGCACGAAAGCGUGGGGAUCAAACAGGAUUAGAUACCCUGGUAGUCCACGCAGUAAACGAUGAAUACUAGCUGUUCGCGAUAUACAGCGAGUGGCACAGCGAAAGCGUUAAGUAUUCCACCUGGGGAGUACGUUCGCAAGAAUGAAACUCAAAGGAAUUGACGGGGGCCCGCACAAGCGGAGGAACAUGUGGUUUAAUUCGAUGAUACGCGAGGAACCUUACCCGGGCUUGAAAUGCAGAAGACCGAAGUGGAAACACUUCUUCCAGCAAUGGCUUCUGUGUAGGUGCUGCAUGGUUGUCGUCAGCUCGUGCCGUGAGGUGUCGGCUUAAGUGCCAUAACGAGCGCAACCCUUAUCGUUAGUUGCCAUCGGGUAAUGCCGGGAACUCUAGCGAGACUGCCACCGUAAGG